UACGUAGGGUGCAAGCGUUGUCCGGAAUUAUUGGGCGUAAAGAGCUCGUAGGCGGUCUGUCGCGUCGGCUGUGAAAACCCGGAGCUCAACUCCGGGCCUGCAGUCGAUACGGGCAAACUGGAGUGUUGCAGGGGAGACUGGAAUUCCUGGUGUAGCGGUGAAAUGCGCAGAUAUCAGGAGGAACACCGGUGGCGAAGGCGGGUCUCUGGGCAGUAACUGACGCUGAGAAGCGAAAGCGUGGGGAGCGAGCAGG
Molecule: ribosomal RNA, 253 nt
Filed under: uncultured bacterium
Lineage: Bacteria
Description: partial 16S ribosomal RNA
Rfam family: Bacterial small subunit ribosomal RNA
Source: RNAcentral